Macadamia integrifolia is the source of this 1247-nucleotide long non-coding RNA. RefSeq lists it as uncharacterized. NCBI's taxonomy places the organism in Eukaryota, Viridiplantae, Streptophyta, Magnoliopsida, Proteales, Proteaceae. The record is from RefSeq and is a predicted model, not a curated record. The transcript is spliced from 3 exons.
CCUCGUUUGCUUGAUGGUGCUUAAACAAUCUGGUUGGAGGUGCUCUUAGGACAAACUAUUUGCAUGUAUGUUCUUUGGUAUGAAUCAGGAUGAUUACCUGAAUGGCUGAGAUAUCUUCCUUGCUUUCUAGAUCUGCUUGGAGGCUUUCUGAGGACAAAUUGGUACACCUUUAAGUUUCAUGCCCAAGAAAAUGAUUUGCAGAACGGUUUAAUAUUUUCUUUCUUCAUACUUAUUUUAGUGAAUCAUUGAUUGUUACAGUAAGGGAAUCAUGUGGUUGUUAUUGUCCAAGCACAGGAACAGCUGAAUGCACUCAUAAUAUGUUCUCAAUGUUUGCUUCAACUUUAUUUCAUAGCGAGGAGGAUGAUGUAGUAGCUGAACUAAGUUAAUCGCAUAUGUUUUUCUUUCUCGGUUUUGCAGGUUUUCCUCAUUUGCUUGAUGUGCUAAACAAUCUGGUUGGAGGUGUGGAGGUGCUCUUAGGACAAACUAUGUGCAUGUAUCUUCUUUGGUAUGAAUCAGGCUGAUUACCUGAAUGGCUCAGAUAUCUUCCUUGCUUUCUAGAUCUGUUUGGAGGCUUUCUGAGGACAAAUUGGUGGGUUUGACAUUUGCAAGUUUAAUGGAUGAAAGAGCUUGCCAUAUUGCGACGUUGAUGAUGGCAUGAGCAACGCAGUAUGUGGAAGAUGAAGGUUGUGAUGGUCCGGUGUGGAUUUUACUUGAAGGUUGGGUUAUCGUUCUGUCCUGUAAUUGCGAUUAUAUGCAGGGUGGGUCAUGCUGGUCCUCUACUUUAGUGAUGCUGAAGUGUCAACUCUCAAGAAAGAAGUUCUGAUUAAGCAAAGGCUCUUCGGUUCUACUCUGCUGAAUAGGUUGCCUUGCCUUUACAUAUGCGCCUUUCUGGAGCACUGGUUGGAUUGAAAAUGUCACAUGGAAGACCAUUAUAAGCACCUGUAGAAGGGUUAUCAUAAAGGUAUUUGUUUUACAGGCCGUUGCUCAUUCUGAUCAAGCAGUUAAGAGAAGCUGUUCUUCAGGGUGUCGAAAGCUGUCCCUGGGCCAGGCAGGGAAUUGACUUGGAGAAUGUUUCAGAGAACGGUAAAUAUGAUUUGAUAGCCAUUACUUUCCAUUGUUUACUUACAAUCUGGGCGGAAGGAAAUAUAAAAUAGAUAAAGAACUACACAUGCAUGUCUCUCUCACAAAAUAUUGGUACUGCAAAUGGUCAAUUUACAUCAAUACAAUCUGUUGUGGUCAUGAUAUCA